CAGGUGUGCAAGUUAUUCAAUCGGGUAUUAACCUUGUAUACAGGACCUUAUAGAAUUUAAAAAAUCUGGGCAGGAUGUUACAAGGCCAUCGCAAAUAAAUCAAUAUUGGGGGGACUCAAGAAUAUAUUUGAAUAAAAUUUAAUUGCUUUUGCACUUUUCUAGUUAUUUCGUGUGUUUUGCUUAAACAAAUGGAAAUUAUAGGGGGGAGGUCAAGCCCUCCGCUUCUGACGGCCUUGUGUUACAUGUGACAUUGCCAGCUGUCUUUAAUAGUUUGCAAAAGUGAUGGGUGGGGGUGUAGGACAUUUCCAACCUGUACGAUUAUUUUUUCAAAACUUGUUUUGAAAAAACUAGCUAACAUCGAUUAAGUUAAGGUUGAAAAAAAUUUUCCCCGACAUAUUCUUGUUAAAACAUACUUAAAACCCUUUUUUGCACCAAUAUCUGCAAGAUUUAGGUUUAGGAAAUUUUUUCUCACACCAUUACUUAUAUCAAAAAACGUUCCAAAUUUUUUUUUAUUUUCAAAUUUGGGGGGCACCCUUACACUGGGGGCCCGGGGCAAAUUGCCUCCUCUGCCUCUCCCCCUGAUAGUAAACUUAUAACAACAACUCAAAUUAUAAUUUUCCCUAUUGAAAAGUCUCUGCACGAAUUUUUUUUCAAACUUUUGGUGCACAAGUAUUUUUUUCUGUUUCCCCUGCUCGAUUUUUAUUUUUGCUCCCCCCAUCACUUUUCUAAAGGUCCGCCCCUUAGUCCAUUACACCCUACUGUUAAUGACAAACAUGAGACUGAUCAUAAAGUUUGUCUCCACUAUGUGUUCUUUUAUGUCUUGUUGAAGUACUUGAAUAUCUGAAUUCUUUACAGAUAUGAUAUCCAUAUAAGGUUUUACUCCACUAUGUGUUCUUUUAUGUGACAAUAACUAAAUUGUUUGAUGUUGAAUAAUGUUUGUUACACAUCUUAGCAAGCCUCAUAUACUGUAGGAUGUGCUUGUCUGUAUCAUGAUUUGUUGCAGUGUACGUUGUUUAAACAAAUUUGCCCAUGUUAAUUGGAAUGUCGACAUGGCAUUCUCGACCAUUCUCACAUUUAUAAGGUAAUUGUGAGUGUGGUGGUGAAAAUGGAAGCAAUAUUGUUCACUAUUCAGGUAUAGCACUUUACUUUUUAUAAUUUAUAUCAAUUAUAUGAUAAAAUAUCGUACGUCUGGCAGUUUAACUUUUUAAAACUGCUAAUACUCAGCCUAUUAGAAUGCUGUUAAUGCAAUUGUGACCACACAUUGGCAUGUAUUUAUAUCCUGUUUAAGUAAUAUCAUAUUCAUCAAGCCAAGUAGUUAU
This is a non-coding RNA of Paramuricea clavata, 1319 nucleotides long. Lineage: Eukaryota; Metazoa; Cnidaria; Anthozoa; Malacalcyonacea; Plexauridae. The record is from the annotation of a GenBank genome assembly.